AACGAACGCUGGCGGCAGGCCUAACACAUGCAAGUCGAGCGCCCGCAAGGGAGCGGCGGACGGGUGAGUAGCGCGUGGGAACGUGCCCUUUGCUACGGAAUAGCCUCGGGAAACUGAGAGUAAUACCGUAUGUGCCCUUCGGGGGAAAGAUUUAUCGGCAAAGGAUCGGCCCGCGUUGGAUUAGGUAGUUGGUGGGGUAAUGGCCCACCAAGCCGACGAUCCAUAGCUGGUUCGAGAGGAUGAUCAGCCACACUGGGACUGAGACACGGCCCAGACUCCUACGGGAGGCAGCAGUGGGGAAUCUUAGACAAUGGGCGCAAGCCUGAUCUAGCCAUGCCGCGUGAGCGAUGAAGGCCUUAGGGUUGUAAAGCUCUUUCGUGGGGGAAGAUAAUGACGGUACCCCAAGAAGAAGCCCCGGCUAACUCCGUGCCAGCCGCCGCGGUAA
Molecule: ribosomal RNA, 445 nt
Filed under: uncultured bacterium
Lineage: Bacteria
Description: partial 16S ribosomal RNA
Rfam family: Bacterial small subunit ribosomal RNA
Source: RNAcentral